GAAGAAGCACAGAAGUUGGUUGAAACUUACAAUAAAGAAGGUCGAGAUGCUGGCUAUGGAAAGAAGCAGUCCAGCUUUAGCUCUGGGCGUGACUCAAGAGGCGACAAGAAAUUUAAGUCUGAACAUGACUACCCCUCUAGAGAUCGAUGGAGCAGUGGUGACCGAGGUCGUUGGGGUGACCGUGAAUCAAGAGGAGGGUGGCAUCCUCGUGGUGGAAUGGACCGUGAUGGUGAUAGGGGCCACCGUGGAAGAAGUGACUCGCGUGACAGAGGCCGAGGUGGUGGAUGGCAAGACCGAAUGAGGGGUGGCCCACCUAUGGGUAGAGGAUUUAGAGGUGGCAGAGGUGGACCGGACUGGCGGUCUCGCGACGAUCGAGACUUCGAUGGUGGUAGAGGUGGAAUGAGAGGUCGCGGAGGUAUGGACCGUGGCGGAUUUAGAGGACGUGGAAUGCCUCGUGGUGGUCCCCGAGGAAGAGGCUUUGAUGGUCCUCGAGGUGGACCACGCGGACGCGGUGGAUUUGGUGACAGAGAUGGUUUUGGUGGAGAUAGAGGCUAUGGUGAUAGAAGCUACAAUGACCGAAACAAUUUCAAUGACAGGAGUUAUGGCGAUAGAUCUGGACGAGAUGACAAGAGACGGGAUGGUAGUGAAAGAGGAGGACGCGGCGGAAGUCGAGAUGGAGAUGCUAGCCAGAAUCGUAAUCAGACAGCUAGUCAGAAUAACAUGGCUCAAAAUCAGAAUGCAGGUGGAAAUUGGAUGCAAGGAUAUGGUCAGAACCAAGGUUGGGGUGCAUGGAACCAGUAUGCCAACCAGUGGAAUCAGUAUAACGCAGCCGCUGCUACAGCAGCUACCCAACAACAAGGCGGAUGGAAACAAGCUGGAUAUGGCACACAACAAGCGUCUGGAACCACAGCUACAACGCAAGCACAGCAACAAACAGCAGCUGCCAAUGCUAACUACACGCAAGCUUAUCAACAACAAGCUGCUGCUUACGGUCAAUAUCCAAACGCAUACAACUGGAAUCAGUAUGGCCAUAUGCCCAGCAGUAUAGCCAAUGGGCUCAGCAAUGGAAUCAAUACGGUUACAACUAUGGUGCAGCAGCUGGCACAACUGGAGUAGCAACGGGUGCCACCACGGGUGCCGUUGCAGGAGCAACAAACACAGCAGUUCCUCCUCCAGCUGUAGCAAACAAAUAAUCGCUCAUCCUUGAGUGAUCCCUGUAAUUUUACUCCUUGACAUUUAAUGAAGUGUGUAAAAAUUCAAGCCAUUUCCCCGAGUUAGAUGCACGUUAAGUCCACUCAACAAGAAUCUUUUUGUUAGAUCAGUUACACAAGUUGCAAUGAAUUUGAUCUUGGAUACUCAUGUAUUGGUGAUCAAUAUCAGCGUCAGUCCAAAGGCCAAAUUCCUAAGUCUCAAAUCAUUGGCGUCAUUAUUUUUGCAGGAAGCACAAUAGUUGAUGUCACUCGUGGUUUUUUUCUACCGUGGUCUCAGUGAAUCUCAAUGAAUGAACAGUAAUCCAUGAUUUUGUAAAGGCAGCACGAAUGAAACCUGGGUAGAUAAAAACCAUGGUACAUGAAUGUGGAGGAUGACAUGUCCAUUGUGUUUUUUUCAAUGAAAAUUCUCAUGAACCUUUGAUGCAGGAUCAUCAUGUUUGCUGCAUUGUGAAUAUCUCUUAUUGAAACUAGAUACCAUGAUGCCUGCAAUUGUCUAAUUUGAUCGCUGUCUCUCUCCAUCCCCCAAGUUCCAGUUUGACUAGUUAACCUGAGCUAUUUUUACUUGAUCUUUAUUUUUAAGCACAGCAAGUAAUUUGUGAAAACAAUUUCUAGAAUGUAUAAACCUAUUCCAUUUGGUGAUAACAAUAUCUAUUUCCACUUGUAGCAAACUGUAAGUGCUAAAUUGCAUGUUCAUGUUAGCAUUGAGUGAAAACUCCAUUGAAGAUCUCCGAGAACCUGUGGCUAUCAUAAUUCUCAUAAAAAUUUAUUUUUUAUAUAAUUGUAAUAAUUUAAUUGUUUGUUAUCAUGAAUGAAAAGAAUUUGUAUUGAAGAUAUUUGAUUAUCUUUUCUGGAUGUAUAAAUUUGUAUAUAUAUAGUUUGUAAUCUUACUGAUGUGUUAUCUUCGAUUGAAAUAAUCUCUUGUUUCUCCAUCAUUUUUUCACUUUUACUUUUUCAAAUGAAUUUAUUCCUGAAGAUUUCUCUGAAUUGCAUUUUUAUUCUCUGGUCAUCGCUCUUAAACAACAGCAUAUUCAAAUUCAAUAUUCAUCAGAUUUCAUCCCCCACCCUGAAUUUUUUUCCUGAAUAGUUUUUCUAUCUCUGCUGUAUUGAUUGUUUGAGUUAAUAAAUAGUUCUAUUUAUUUCUCAUUAAUAUGUUGUUCUAUUAAUUUCAUUAUGAUAAAAGUACGAUGCUUUUUUCUUGUGCAAAUUUUAUUUUGCCCUUGACUAGAAACUUUCAACUUGAUAAGUAUAUCCAACAUAAUUUUCCGUUUGUCAUUUUUGGAAAAUGCACAAACAAGUUCACUCUGAAGCACUUCUAUUUUUGCGAUUACUUGAUUACCAACGAACUAAUUCAUGGAGAAAUGAACAUUUUAGUUAAAAAGCUGUUUGGUCGAAGGCGUCAGCCAAAUGUCAAUAGCUAUAUCUGCUGUAUCAUUUGUCAUUUAAAGCAUUUCAAAGGAAGAUGAUGGGAGGUAACUAAAAACAUAAGCGCAAUUAUAGCAUUAAUCUCUUAAUUUUAAUUAUAUCACAUGUAACAUAGAACAAAUAAAGAAAAAAACAGCUAUAAAUACAAUAAUUACAUCAUAUGGACUGUACAGAAGAGAUUCCGCAUACAAUUAUAAAAUUUUACAAGAGACAUUGAGGCGAUUUGCCUGCUUGUAUUUCCUUGUAAUCCAUUUUCCAUGGGAAUACUGAAAUUCGAACUGUUAAAGGUAAAGUUAACUUGAAGCACAAGGAAGGAAAACGCUCUGAAUUUGAAAGUUAAAAAAAAAAUAUUUGAGAAAGUUACCUACUUCCAACAUGAGUGAAAAUUAUUUAAGAACAACAUUAUUUAAAAUAUAUGAGAGAGCAAGUCCCUUGAAAAGAGAUUUCAUACCCUUGCAUUAAGCAUCAUUAGUCGACUUGAGGUUUUUAAUUAUCUAUUUUCAGCAGCAAGAGGCAUUCUGUGCUUAUUUUAGCACCUCUUAAAAGUGGUUAAGCUCAUAAUGUAACAUCAGGCUCAUGGUUCAGAGUUUCGUGAUGAUGAGUGCACCAAGAGUGCUGUAACUUUGCUUUUAAUUUAAACAUAGCCACUGACAAAAGAAAAUUUUCAAGAACCUGAUUUCUUCUAUUUAAAACUUCAAUUUUAAAAUCGUUUAGAAUUGGCACAUUUAGAGAAAAAAGAGGGGUAGUGGCAAAGGUUCUGGUUCCUAUGUUUUUGUAUUAUUUUAGUACUUUUUGAUUUACAAUCGAUAGCAUCCAGGAAUGUUAACUCACUAGGUGAUCCUGAAACAGUAAAACAGGAUCAUUACUCCAUUGGGGACAGGGUCAUGUUCAGAGAUGAAUUUUAACAGAAAUCAAAAUCCUAAAACAAUAUAAUUUUCAUUUUCAACAUUUUGGUGCUGGUCGAUUUUUCAUGAUGAUGAAAAUGGACCAAUUUUCGAAACAGAAAAAUGCGAAUAUCUCGUUAACCGUUGGUCGUAGGGCAAAACGGACGAAAUUUUGCCAGCCCUCCCGAAUCUCUGAGAUUAUUUUGGGACACCCGAUGGGCCCAUGGGGUUGAGGGCCCCCCAA
This 3761-nucleotide long non-coding RNA is filed under the name Bemisia tabaci. Its description in RNAcentral is "lncRNA ENSSSA3NGG001617". Lineage: Eukaryota; Metazoa; Arthropoda; Insecta; Hemiptera; Aleyrodidae. The record is from RNAcentral.